UCCUCUAUCCGAGGACAAUAUAUUAAAUGGAUUUUUGGAGCAGGGAGUUGGAAUAGGAGCUUGCUCCGUCCACUCCACGCAUCGACCUGGUAUUGCAGUACCUCCAGGAACGGUGCAUC
Molecule: small nuclear RNA, 119 nt
Filed under: Cervus elaphus hippelaphus
Lineage: Eukaryota; Metazoa; Chordata; Mammalia; Artiodactyla; Cervidae
Rfam family: U2 spliceosomal RNA
About the family: U2 is a small nuclear RNA (snRNA) component of the spliceosome (involved in pre-mRNA splicing). Complementary binding between U2 snRNA (in an area lying towards the 5' end but 3' to hairpin I) and the branchpoint sequence (BPS) of the intron results the bulging out of an unpaired adenosine, on the BPS, which initiates a nucleophilic attack at the intronic 5' splice site, thus starting the first of two transesterification reactions that mediate splicing.
Source: RNAcentral